AGAAAGUGGUUCUCUUUGUGUCU
Molecule: non-coding RNA, 23 nt
Filed under: Arabidopsis thaliana (thale cress)
Lineage: Eukaryota; Viridiplantae; Streptophyta; Magnoliopsida; Brassicales; Brassicaceae
Source: RNAcentral